This 301-nucleotide ribosomal RNA is filed under the name uncultured bacterium. RNAcentral's name for it is "partial 16S ribosomal RNA". It matches the Rfam family "Bacterial small subunit ribosomal RNA", at positions 509 to 809 of the family's 1533-position model. The record is from RNAcentral.
CAGCCGCCACGGUAAAACGAAGGGGGCUAGCGUCGUUCGGAUUUACUGGGCGUAAAGGGUGCGUAGGCGGACUGAUAAGUCAGGGGUGAAAUCCCAAGGCUCAACCUUGGAACUGCCUUUGAUACUGUUAGUCUUGAGUUCGAGAGAGGUGAGUGGAACUGCGAGUGUAGAGGUGAAAUUCGUAGAUAUUCGCAAGAACACCAGUGGCGAAGGCGGCUCACUGGCUCGAAACUGACGCUGAGGCACGAAAGCGUGGGGAGCAAACAGGAUUAGAUACCCGAGUAGUCCCUGUCUCUUAUAA